Molecule: ribosomal RNA, 642 nt
Filed under: uncultured Nitrospirota bacterium
Lineage: Bacteria; Pseudomonadati; Nitrospirota
Description: bacterial SSU rRNA
Rfam family: Bacterial small subunit ribosomal RNA
Source: RNAcentral
AGAGUUUGAUCCUGGCUCAGAGCGAACGCUGGCGGCGUGCUUAACACAUGCAAGUCACACGGAGUUAUUGAAGGGUAACUGGAGAUAACUAAGUGGCGGACGGGUGAGUAACGCGUAGGUGACCUGCCCUUGUGACUGGGAUAACCAUUGGAAACGGUGGCUAAUACCGGAUAAGACCACGACUAGGUAAUAGCAGUGGUAAAAGGAGAAAUCUGCACAGGGACGGGCCUGCGUCCUAUCAGGUAGUUGGUGGGGUAAUAGCCUACCAAGCCUAAGACGGGUAGCCGGUCUGAGAGGAUGGACGGCCACACUGGAACUGAGACACGGUCCAGACUCCUACGGGAGGCAGCAGUGAGGAAUUUUGCGCAAUGGGUGAAAACCUGACGCAGCGACGCCGCGUGGGGGAUGAAGGCCUUCGGGUUGUAAACCCCUUUUGUAAGGGAAGAUAAUGACGGUACCUUAAGAAUAAGCCACGGCUAACUCUGUGCCAGCAGCCGCGGUAAGACAGAGGUGGCAAGCGUUGCUCGGAAUCACUGGGCUUAAAGGGCGCGUAGGCGGUUAAUCAAGUUCAGGGUGGAAUGCAUGGGCUCAACCUGUGAAUUGCCUUGAAAACUGAUUGACUUGAGUAAGCGAGGGGAUGGC